UUCGUUCGUUUCACAUACGUAGGGUUGUUGACAUUCCGUACACAUCUGUUUGUGUUUGAUAUUUCAAUAAGUCUUUGAAAUUUGUCGCGUUCGUCUGUGGUAUGUUCAUUACCAAUGUUUGGAUUCUAUAACGUUCUUGACGUUGACCAUUUGUACGUGUUUUUGUAUCUGCCGUGUGGUUUUCAAACAGGUUUUGCGUCUCAAUAGGUAAAUUUUUUAAAAUGUAGAUCGUUUCGGACACACUUUGGAAACUUAUUCUCAAAUGUGGGUUAAGGUUUUGUCGUAUUGAAAGGACAUUAUGUAUAUUUAGAGGCUGUAUGUAUACGGUAGCAAUCUCGGAGAUCAAUUGUGCACCAUUAUUAUCGCCGUUGUUGACAUUGAAUAUCAUUUCUUUUAGACUUUCGACUAACGUAGCAGCUGAAUGCAACAUGUUUAUUGAGGAAAUCAAAAAGCAGUCUGAUUCAUUGACAUUCUCCAGUUUCAAAUGUUCGAUAGUUGGUACAAAUUCACGUGUAAUCGUCGUUUUAUUCUGCUUCACUCUCCGUAUAGGUUGUUCAUUGUUUUUUCUUGAACUUUCAUAUGUUUAAUAACAUACUUUAUUAACAUUUUAAAACAUUCUGCAAUGGUGAUGUUAUGUGUGUUCUUGGAGGAAGAAAUCGCGUUUGCAGAUUUUACUUUGAUGAGCUUUGUCUCUAAAGGCUCAAUACGGAUGCAGCAACAAAUGUUUAUAAGAAACAUAACUGGUAUAUCACAAGAAAUUCACGGUAGCUCGAGUUAUGACCUUGCUUAGGAGUAUGCCGCCUACCCACGUACUCAAAAAUGUUGAAAUAGAUCGAACCAGAGACUUUGUACAUGGCAGUCACCGAGAACGGACAAUAGUACUCACUCAUAACGACGGCAGACUUUUAAUUACCAUGUGUGAAGCUACCUUUCCUUUCAGUCAGAAUGCGCGAUCUUGUUGUACAGUCUGCCCUCGUCCGCUCUAGUCACCCGAACAUGUAAAGUAAAUGGCACCACCAAAAGUUCCAAUAAUGAAUUAGUAGGGUCUGGUGUCCUAUAUGAGGACACGAACUGCCAGUUUUAUUCCGAGGCCUUCAUGUUGCAACCCAUAUUUGAUGGAUUAACGAACUUUCCGCUCACUUAUAGUCACAUAGUGCAGCCUCAUCUGCCGGAGUCCGUCUCUACCCAGGAGAACGACCAGAGUUCGCAGAACGACGAGCAGACAACCAGGACGCUUGCGGCCUUGAAGGCCGUCGCCCGAAGGAGUUCGCCUUCUACCCCGCAACCACUGAGGGAUCUGCUGGAGGCCAGGGUAUUUCCCUACGGCCGGCAUCAGAUGGGUCUUGCUGAAUUGAACUUACCAGCGCCGAGACGGGUGUCACGACGUCCAACCCUGCUGCUCCCAACAGAAUGGAGACAGCAACUGUAUCAGGGGCAGCCUCAAAGAGCCGCCCCCAGGCAGCCGAGCGCGUGGGGUUCGCUCAGCCCGGGAAGUUCCAGCUGCGGAAGUAACAAGAUGGCAACCCACUGUAUCGACAUGUAACAUUAUUCGGAGAAAACAGAGACUAAUUUAGGACGUUGUUGAACAAUUUGCCUACCUGUGAAAAUUCAUUGUAAGUUGCAGUGACCAGUUGGUUGGGUGAGAGUUCCAUCUUUAUUUUACAACUUGAUGUCUUGUGUAAUUCGUAAUUUGUAACUUGUAAUUUUUCUUAUAGUGUGGUAGUUGAUAAUUGCCGAACCAGACCACGUAAUUUGGCCGACUAUCGGCGAAUAAGAUGCACAUUUGUUGUAGAUGGUUAACUUGAGGAUUGGAAUGUAAAACCUUGGAAUGAACAUUGUAAAGGAGAUUUGACGCACAGAAUAACGCAAUAACCACUGACCAUCGCUUACCUGCAAUUGCCGUACCCAUGGGGAUGAAAACUUAACUUGUGGAAGUUACGUUUUCAUUUAAGGAGGGGGCAAGUUCUUGUGUCGGCACCCCUUCUCACCCUUACUUGGACCACAUGUUUUUAAACUGGUUAAUCUUAAUUGUAGUUGCCCCACAUCUGGUGUGAAGCUUGGGGUGGCCACUGGAAUUUUAAUGACGAUGCAGUGGUAAGGUUCACUCCCAUCUGCGUGCGUUAGCUUCAAAAAGGGCCUCCAUGUUGGACUAAACAAAGCAUGCAUGUGUCUUCCAUAUAUGGGCAUGGAAUAUUUUUGGCCAAUCAGAAGCGAUAAUUUUAGGGCGGUUCCAAGGGCGCACAUCAUCGUGAGCGUCCCUACGAAUUCUAUUUGAAGCGCGAGAUUAUCUCGCGUCGAUUCUCUUUUGGGCAACAAUUGAAGGCGGAACCUGUGUCGCUGGUGGCCACAAUGUGGAACUGCGGUAAUUUGCAGCUGGGGUGAGAGGAACCUAUUGCCUAUUGACUAGCUGCUAUUAGCCAACCUAAAAGCAUUCGUUCCACAACCACUGAAGGAACAACAGACAAAUGAGUCAAUGGUG
Zootermopsis nevadensis is the source of this 2479-nucleotide non-coding RNA. The record is from RefSeq and is a predicted model, not a curated record. NCBI's taxonomy places the organism in Eukaryota, Metazoa, Arthropoda, Insecta, Blattodea, Termopsidae.